GGGGAAUUAGCUCAAUAGUAGAGCACAUGCUUAGCAUGUAUGACAUCCUGGGUUUGGUCCCUAGCCCUCCCCA
This 73-nucleotide transfer RNA is filed under the name Neotoma lepida (desert woodrat). It matches the Rfam family "tRNA". From Rfam's summary of the family: Transfer RNA (tRNA) molecules are approximately 80 nucleotides in length. Their secondary structure includes four short double-helical elements and three loops (D, anti-codon, and T loops). Further hydrogen bonds mediate the characteristic L-shaped molecular structure. tRNAs have two regions of fundamental functional importance: the anti-codon, which is responsible for specific mRNA codon recognition, and the 3' end, to which the tRNAs corresponding amino acid is attached (by aminoacyl-tRNA synthetases). tRNAs cope with the degeneracy of the genetic code in two manners: having more than one tRNA (with a specific anti-codon) for a particular amino acid; and 'wobble' base-pairing, i.e. permitting non-standard base-pairing at the 3rd anti-codon position. Lineage: Eukaryota; Metazoa; Chordata; Mammalia; Rodentia; Cricetidae. The record is from Rfam by way of RNAcentral.